RNAcentral lists this long non-coding RNA (530 nucleotides) under Drosophila guanche. Lineage: Eukaryota; Metazoa; Arthropoda; Insecta; Diptera; Drosophilidae. The record is from RNAcentral.
CCUGAAAUUAUUUGAUGUGCGUCCCUCUUCCGAAAGCAUUUAACAUUUAUUAAGUUUGGUUUUUAGUUGCAUAAAACAUGAGAAUCACACUACAAAUCCAAUAUCAAGCUUACCAAUCGCCGAUUGUUCCACUCCACAUUCCACAAUCCACAAUCCACAUUCCACAAGUCUGCGGCUGGCAGUCGGCAGUCGUUGGAUAUCUUUAUGAAAAUCUACAAAAAUACAGGUAAGCAAACCGAGGUUGUUUUCAGCACAUAAUUGUUACAAAUUAUAAUUGUAAUCAACAAAUAAUAUUAUUGCAUUCUAUUUUAGCUCACUGCUCUCCCAAAAUGUUAGUUUUGCAGCAAGUCUGACGGCCACACAGCUCUACUUUUUCCCAUGGAGGCACGAACAACUUCCAUUGAUCAACCAAAGUUCUCGAUUGGAUUGGAAUUAUUUCUACGCUGUUGCAGGACUGUUAUUCGAAUUGAUCAUUAAAUAAAUCAGACACACAUACACACACACACACACACACACAAACACACACAAAC